This is a long non-coding RNA of Lytechinus variegatus (green sea urchin), 935 nucleotides long. RefSeq lists it as uncharacterized. The transcript is spliced from 3 exons. Lineage: Eukaryota; Metazoa; Echinodermata; Echinoidea; Temnopleuroida; Toxopneustidae. The record is from RefSeq and is a predicted model, not a curated record.
GCGAAGAUUUAUCAGCGAAGAUGUUGCAGAAAAUGACCAAGAUCUUUGUGAGAGGGCGAUGCCUGAACUUUAAGCUUCAGAGAGUGGACAUCUCCAUGAAUGAAGGGAUCAGAUGACGAGUGUCAACAAUGAAAGCUUGAAUAUUUUUGUCUGACAACCACCAGUGGAGACCAGUGGACCAGUGAAAUCAAGAAAUUAAUUGUCACCAAAAUUCUGAAUACCAAAAUACUUAAAGUCCUACAUUUCCUUAUCUAGAUUUAAGAUUUUCAGAUGAUUUCAUAUUUCAAAUCUUUAAUCAACCAAGGAGAACUAUAGAAAUCAAAUUACCAAGCAGGAUUACUCUAUUUUAUUGCUUGAACUUAAUCGGCCAUUAACUUUUUAAUCCAGUGGCAUGGGUGUGGCCAUUUUUUUCUGUCAGUUUGCAACUUUUAGCUACUCUGCUAUAUUUCUACAGCAGAGUAACUCAGAUUUGCAAACAGACGUUCAGGCUAUAGGAUCACAAUGUUAUUGGCUGAACAAUUCAAGCAAUGAAAUUGAGAACUGUAGCUCAGUUAUCUUAUUUCCAUUGUCAUACUUCAUUGAUAAGUCAUAUGAAAUGAUAAUAUCACAUUGAACUUUGAAAAAAAUAUAUUAGGGGUCUAGUCUGGUUGGUUGUCAAAGUCUUUGACUCUGUGAAUUUCUAUUUUAUUUAAUUAUUUCACGUGGUCCACUGGUCGGUCAUCGGUGGACUGGACUGGUCAGUUCAACUCAGCCCUAGUUUGAAGUGAAAACAAGUGCAGAGUCCUAUCCAAGAAAGUAAAGGCCUAACAUCAAGGAUUCAUCUGGAACAAGCGGCCCAACAGGAAGCAGGGAACAUGGAACUAGAAUAUAAAGACAUCAUGAUGGAGGAUGAACUCAACGUACUCAUGAAAUAGUCCAGAGAAAUGUUAUCAGAA